UAGGUUUUUAGAAUUAGAAGGAACCUUAAAAUCAUCUAAUAAAACUUCCUUAUUUUACAGAUGAGAAAAUGAAGGCCCUAAAAGAUAAAGUGACCGAAUUCCUGAAAAGAGAUCAGUUAAGCUGAGCUCUAACUCACCUUGGAUUUCCUAAAUAAGAGAAAGAAUAUGCCUAGAGAUCAUAUAUGCCUCAUAUAUAAACAAAUUGAUUUGGGGGUACCCUUCCAUGAUACAGAUUACAACUCUUUCAUACCUGCUUAUCCACUGUAAUUUUUAUCUGUGUCUUUUGAGUAUGAAACAACGUAACCCAGGGCACAAGUCCAUUUACACAAGACUCUUUUCAUCAGUUGAGAAUGACUACUGGAUGCUUCAUGCCUAUGUGAGGGACAGAACUGAUUCCUCCAAGUUGUUCGGGACCUAGUUCCUUUCAAGGCUUAGUUGGAUGGCCACUUCCUAUAUAGAGCUCAGCCUCAUCAUCCCCAGUUAUUAGAGCUCUUACCCCACCAGAAAUACUUUUGCAUUUAGGAUGACUGGACAAUGCUUUUAGAGCUGGAUGGGCCAUCAGAGGCCAUCUUAUCCAUACCUGCUUAUUUUUCAGAAAGAAAAUGAAGACUCCAAGUGGCUUUCUUAAAAUCACACAUGUGUUGAAUAGAGGUGGAAUUUGAAACUAAGACCUCUGAUUCCAAAUCUAGUGUUCUCCCUCCCUUCACCCAGUAUUAUCUUACCUCUCUACAUUGCAUUUAUUUGGUAUUUACAUUUCUGUCCCUCUUCCCUCUAAUUCCUGGUCUCCCUUCUCACCCCCAUCCCCACUGAGUGUAGGCUCUUGGAGGGCAGAGACUAUUUUGAAUUUGUCAUUAUAACCCCAGUAACUAAUAUAGUAUCUGAUUUUUUUUCUACACAGAUUUAUCUUUUCAUUAUUAUAGAAAAGUCCUUGGGGAGGAAAAUCAUUCUCCCACGCCUAUCAACUGUUUUGCAACUUAUAGCUUAGACAGAUAUGAGAAACUAAAUGAAUUCCUGAUUCACACGGCUAGUAAUAUGCAUGGCAGAGGCAGAAUCUGACCCCAAAUCUUUGUGAUUCUCAAGUCAGCCUUUAUUCACUACCCUACUCUGCCUCUUAUGUUGUCUAUGGGCCUGACACAGAAUAGAUGAUUAAUGAAUGUGCAUUGAAUAAUAAAAUAACCAAAUAAGAAAAUAUAGGGAAUAUG
Molecule: long non-coding RNA, 1202 nt
Organism: Monodelphis domestica (gray short-tailed opossum)
Lineage: Eukaryota; Metazoa; Chordata; Mammalia; Didelphimorphia; Didelphidae
Source: Ensembl